ACUUCUAUGGAAACUCUUUUCCAUCAAUUAUAUUACUGUGGCUACAGACUCAUAGACUUAGCUUCUCAAAUCUCAUAGGACUACUCUCUAUCAAGAUCGAUAGAUCCUAUCUUGAUGCGCAUCCUAGCCCUACAGUGGACCAACUAUCGUCAACAUCCACUACAAGGGCUCAUUGAGACCUAUGUUUAUAUGUCAUCAACAUCCACUGCAGAUCAUCCACACGAAGCUCCCAGUCUGAUCGACUCCUCACGAGUGCUAGCUCGUUGU
RNAcentral lists this long non-coding RNA (267 nucleotides) under Elaeis guineensis (African oil palm). RNAcentral's name for it is "long non-coding RNA (EGUI_LNC080461)". The record is from RNAcentral. Lineage: Eukaryota; Viridiplantae; Streptophyta; Magnoliopsida; Arecales; Arecaceae.